Molecule: ribosomal RNA, 425 nt
Filed under: uncultured bacterium
Lineage: Bacteria
Description: partial 16S ribosomal RNA
Rfam family: Bacterial small subunit ribosomal RNA
Source: RNAcentral
GUGGGGAAUCUUAGACAAUGGGCGCAAGCCUGAUCUAGCCAUGCCGCGUGAGCGAUGAAGGCCUUAGGGUUGUAAAGCUCUUUCGUGGGGGAAGAUAAUGACUGUACCCCAAGAAGAAGCCCCGGCUAACUCCGUGCCAGCAGCCGCGGUAAUACGGAGGGGGCUAGCGUUGUUCGGAAUUACUGGGCGUAAAGCGCACGUAGGCGGACUGGAAAGUCAGGGGUGAAAUCCCGGGGCUCAACCCCGGAACUGCCUUUGAAGCUCCCAGUCUUGAGUUCGAGAGAGGUGAGUGGAAUUCCGAGUGUAGAGGGGAAAUUCGUAGAUAUUCGGAGGAACACCAGUGGCGAAGGCGGCUCACUGGCUCGAUACUGACGCUGAGGUGCGAAAGCGUGGGGAGCAAACAGGAUUAGAUACCCUAGUAGUCC